This 459-nucleotide ribosomal RNA is filed under the name uncultured bacterium. RNAcentral describes it as "partial 16S ribosomal RNA". It matches the Rfam family "Bacterial small subunit ribosomal RNA", at positions 338 to 795 of the family's 1533-position model. The record is from RNAcentral.
CCUACGGUGGGCAGCAGUGAGGAAUAUUGGUCAAUGGGCGGAAGCCUGAACCAGCCAAGUAGCGUGCAGGAUGACGGCCCUACGGGUUGUAAACCUCUUUUGUCGGGGAGCAAAGCGAGUCACGUGUGACUCAUUGAGAGUACCCGAAGAAAAAGCAUCGGCUAACUCCGUGCCAGCAGCCGCGGUAAUACGGAGGAUGCGAGCGUUAUCCGGAUUUAUUGGGGUUAAAGGGUGCGCAGGCGGAGGUGCAAGUCAGCGGUCAAAUUGCGGGGCUCAACCCCGUACUGCCGUUGAAACUGCAUCCCUUGAGUGCGCGAGAGGUAUGCGGAAUGCGUGGUGUAGCGGUGAAAUGCAUAGAUAUCACGCAGAACUCCGAUUGCGAAGGCAGCAUACCGGCGCGCAACUGACGCUCAUGCACGAAAGCGUGGGUAUCGAACAGGAUUAGAUACCCGGGUAGUC